RNAcentral lists this ribosomal RNA (253 nucleotides) under uncultured bacterium. RNAcentral's name for it is "partial 16S ribosomal RNA". It matches the Rfam family "Bacterial small subunit ribosomal RNA", at positions 524 to 776 of the family's 1533-position model. The record is from RNAcentral.
UACGUAGGGGGCAAGCGUUGUCCGGAUUUAUUGGGCGUAAAGCGCACGUAGGCGGCUUUUUAAGUCAGGGGUGAAAUCCUGGAGCUCAACUCCAGAACUGCCUUUGAUACUGAGAAGCUUGAGUCCGGGAGAGGUGAGUGGAACUGCGAGUGUAGAGGUGAAAUUCGUAGAUAUUCGCAAGAACACCAGUGGCGAAGGCGGCUCACUGGCCCGGUACUGACGCUGAGGUGCGAAAGCGUGGGGAGCAAACAGG